GAUGAACGCUGGCGGCGUGCCUAAUACAUGCAAGUCGAGCGAACGGACGAGAAGCUUGCUUCUCUGAUGUUAGCGGCGGACGGGUGAGUAACACGUGGAUAACCUACCUAUAAGACUGGGAUAACUUCGGGAAACCGUAGCUAAUACCGGAUAAUAUUUUGAACCGCAUGGUUCAAAAGUGAAAGACGGUCUUGCUGUCACUUAUAGAUGGAUCCGCGCUGCAUUAGCUAGUUGGUAAGGUAACGGCUUACCAAGGCAACGAUGCAUAGCCGACCUGAGAGGGUGAUCGUCCACACUGGAACUGAGACACGGUCCAGACUCCUACGGGAGGCAGCGGUAGGGAAUCUUCCGCAAUGGGCGAAAGCCUGACGGAGCAGCGCCGCGUGAGUGAUGAAGGUCUUCGGAUCGUAAAACUCUGUUAUUAGGGAAGAACAUAUGUGUAAGUAACUGUGCACAUCUUGACGGUACCUAAUCAGAAAGCCACGGCUAACUACGUG
This 497-nucleotide ribosomal RNA is filed under the name uncultured bacterium. RNAcentral describes it as "partial 16S ribosomal RNA". It matches the Rfam family "Bacterial small subunit ribosomal RNA", at positions 28 to 507 of the family's 1533-position model. The record is from RNAcentral.